AGUUCGAUCCUGGCUCAGAUUAUCCGGCGGGAUGCUUUACACAUGCAAGUCGAACGGCAGCACGGACGGUCUGGUGGCGAGUAUGAACGGGGUGAGUAAUGCAUCGAACGUGCCUAGUAGCGGGGGAUAACUACGCGAAAGCGUAGCUAAUACCGCAUACGCCCUUCGGGGUGAAAGCGGGGACCUUCGGGCCUCGCACUAUUAGAGCGGCCGAUAUCGGAUUAGCUAGUUGGUGGGCAACGGCUCACCAAGGCGACGAUCCGUAGCUGGUUUGAGAGGACGACCAGCCAGUGCCACUUGGACUGAGACGGCCCAGACUCCUACGGAGGCAGUGAAAAUUUUGGAUACUGGGAAACUUCGAUCCAGCCAUCCCGCGGUGAUGAAGGCCUUCGGGUUGUAAAGCACUUUCGGGCAGGAAAAGAAAACGGCACGGAUAAUACCCCGUGCAACUGACGGCGUACCUGCAGAAUAAGCACCGGCUAACCACGUGCCAGCAGCCGCGGUAAUACGUAGGGUGCAAGCGUUAAUCGGAAUUACUGGGCGUAAAAGCGUGCGCAGGCGGUUCGGAAAGAAAGAUGUGAAAUCCCAGAGCUUAACUUUGGAACUGCAUUUUUAACUAUCAGAGCUAGAGUGUGUCAGAGGGAGUGGAAUUCCGCGUGUGUAGCAGUGAAAUGCGUAGAUAUGCGGAGGAACACCGAUGGCGAAGGCAGCCUCCUGGGGAUAACACUGACGCUCAUGCACGAAAGUGGGAGCAAACAGGAUUAGAUACCCUGGUAGUCCACGCCCUAAAACGAUGUCAACUAGCUGCCGGGCUCUCUGGCCUUGGUAGCGUGAAGCACGCGUGAAGUUGACCGCCUGGGAGUAAUGGUCGUAAGAUUAAACUCAAAGGAAUUGACGGGACCCGCACAAGCGGUGGAUGAUGGAUUAAUUCGAUGCAACGCGAAAAACCUUACCUACCCUUGACAUGUCUGGAAUCCCGGAAGAGAUUGGGAGUGCUCGCAAGGAGAACCGGAAACGACAGGUGCCGCAUGGCUGCCGUCAGCCUUCCGUGUGUCGCAGAUGUUGCCAAGUCCCGCAACGAGCGCAAUCCCCGCCACAGUUGCUACGAAAGCGCACUCUAAUGAGACUGCCGGUGACAAACUGAUAGCGUGGGGAUGACGUCGGAGUCCUCAUGGCCCUUGCGUAGGGCUUCACACGUCAUACAAUGGUCGGGACAGAGGGUCGCCAACCCGCGAGGGGGAGCCAAUCCCAGAAACCUGAUCGUAGUCCGGAUCGCAGUCUGCAACUCGACUGCGUGAAGUCGGAAUCGCUAGUAAUCGCGGAUCAGCAUACCGUGGUGAAUACGUUCCCGGGUCUUGUACACACCGCCUGUCACACCAUGAGUGGGUUUUACCAGAAGUAGUUAGCCCAACCGUAAGGAGGGCGAUUACCACGGUAGGAUUCAUGACUGGGGUAAGUCAACAAGGU
This 1467-nucleotide ribosomal RNA is filed under the name uncultured Bordetella sp. RNAcentral's name for it is "partial 16S-23S ribosomal RNA intergenic spacer". It matches the Rfam family "Bacterial small subunit ribosomal RNA". Lineage: Bacteria; Pseudomonadati; Pseudomonadota; Betaproteobacteria; Burkholderiales; Alcaligenaceae. The record is from RNAcentral.